Molecule: unclassified non-coding RNA, 346 nt
Filed under: soil metagenome
Description: partial contains 5.8S ribosomal RNA, internal transcribed spacer 2, and large subunit ribosomal RNA
Rfam family: 5.8S ribosomal RNA (bases 1-120)
Source: RNAcentral
GAUGAAGAACGCAGUGAAAUGCGAUACGUAAUGUGAAUUGCAGAAUUCAGUGAAUCAUCGAGUCUUUGAACGCACAUUGCGCCCCCUGGUAUUCCGGGGGGCAUGCCUGUCCGAGCGUCAUUGCUGCCCUCAAGCACGGCUUGUGUGUUGGGCCUCCGUCCUCCUCCCGGGGGACGGGCCCGAAAGGCAGCGGCGGCACCGCGUCCGGUCCUCGAGCGUAUGGGGCUUCGUCACCCGCUCUUGUAGGCCCGGCCGGCGCUUGCCGACACAUCAAUCUUUUUUCCAGGUUGACCUCGGAUCAGGUAGGGAUACCCGCUGAACUUAAGCAUAUCAAUAAGCGGAGGGA